GAUGUCCAUUGCUAGCUCAGUAUUCAGUGUAGAGUCUGUGUGAUAUUCAUACACAGCUACAUCUGAUUACUGGGUCAAUAAUGACAUCAUAAGCAAC
RNAcentral lists this microRNA precursor (97 nucleotides) under Lepisosteus oculatus (spotted gar). RNAcentral's name for it is "miRNA (ENSLOCG00000020008.1)". The stretch from base 5 to 89 matches the Rfam family "mir-221 microRNA precursor family". Lineage: Eukaryota; Metazoa; Chordata; Actinopteri; Semionotiformes; Lepisosteidae. The record is from RNAcentral.